RNAcentral lists this long non-coding RNA (343 nucleotides) under Chloebia gouldiae (Gouldian finch). RNAcentral describes it as "Erythrura gouldiae (Gouldian finch) lncRNA (ENSEGOG00005003697.1)". Lineage: Eukaryota; Metazoa; Chordata; Aves; Passeriformes; Passeridae. The record is from RNAcentral.
UUACAAGAGAUGGGAUACAUGAGUGUGUAGUGCUUUUAGUUUCAUUUCUCCCUCGUACAUGGGUGUGAUAGCUGAUCUCUAGGCACUGGACCACAUGUAGACACAGGAAGAGGUAUUUAGCAGUUAUAAAAAAGCCAGCAUUGCCUACACAGCUGUGCUUUUUUUCUUCUAAGGGAAAAGUACCUGGGCCAAAUGUUGUUGCACAUGAAAGUCAUCUUAUGAACCUCUGACAUUUUAUGAUCAUUAUGUGAAAAGCCUUUUGGGACUGGUACUGAACGGUUGAUUUUUAAUUAGUGAAAGACUAAUUAAAGACUAAGACUGAGCAAACAGAGCAGCAACUUUG